RNAcentral lists this ribosomal RNA (480 nucleotides) under uncultured bacterium. RNAcentral's name for it is "partial 16S ribosomal RNA". It matches the Rfam family "Bacterial small subunit ribosomal RNA", at positions 28 to 507 of the family's 1533-position model. The record is from RNAcentral.
GAUGAACGCUAGCGGCAGGCCUAACACAUGCAAGUCGAGGGGUAGAAGGAGCUUGCUCCUUUGAGACCGGCGCACGGGUGCGUAACGCGUAUGCAAUCUACCUUGUACAGGGGAAUAGCCCAGAGAAAUUUGGAUUAAUGCCCCAUAGUAUAUAACCUUCGCAUGUUGGUUAUAUUAAAGUUCCAACGUUACAAGAUGAGCAUGCGUCCCAUUAGUUAGUUGGUAAGGUAACGGCUUACCAAGACGAUGAUGGGUAGGGGUCCUGAGAGGGAGAUCCCCCACACUGGUACUGAGACACGGACCAGACUCCUACGGGAGGCAGAAGUGAGGAAUAUUGGUCAAUGGUCGCAAGACUGAACCAGCCAUGCCGCGUGCAGGAAGACGGUCCUAUGGAUUGUAAACUGAUUUUAUACAGGAAGAAACACGCCCACGUGUGGGAGCUUGACGGUACUGUAGGAAUAAGGAUAGGCUAACUCCGUG